UGACGGUACCCUACUAGAAAGGAGCCGCUAACUUCGUGCCAGAAGCGUCGGUAAUACGGGGGCUCCAAGCGUUAUCCGGUGUUAUUGGGCGUAAAGAGUCGUGUAGGUGGUUGGGUAAGUUAUCUUUCAAAUAUCUUUGCUUAACAAAGAGGAGGGGGAUAAUACUGCUCGACUAGAAUUUUCUCAAGGGAGAUCGGAACUGAGGGAGGAGUAGUGAAAUGCGUUGAUACCCUCGGGAACACCAGUGGCGUAGGCGGAUCUCUGGGAGAAGAUUGACACUGAGACACGAAAGCUAGGGGAGCGAAGCAGAUUAGAGACCUGCGUAGUCCUAGCCGUAAACGCAUGCUUGCUAGCUGCAUGAAUCUACCUUCGGGUGGUAUCGUGUGGCGAAGGUAACCCGUUAAGCAAGCCGCCUGGAAAGUACGGCCGCAAGGCUGAAAUUCAAAGGAAUUGGCGGGGAGGCACACAACCAGUGGAACAUGUGGUUUAAUUCGAGACUAACCGAAGAACCUCACCAGGGUUUGGCAUGUAGCUGCACGUCUUAAGAAAUUAAGACUCUCUUGAAGGUGCUACACAGGUGCUGCAUGGCUGUCGUCAGCUCGUUCCGUGAGGAGUGCCCUUAAGUGGGACAACGAGCGCAACCCCUAUUACAUGUUAGAAAUGUCAUGUAAGACUGCCUUGCCAUUUGGCGGGGAGGAAGGAGGGGCAGACGUCAAGUCCGCAUGGUCCUUAUGCCCUGGGCUACACACAUGUUACAAUGAGUACGGCAAUGAGUCUGUCGCGAGCACGUAAGUGUAAGCUAAUCUCUUAAAUGUACUCUCAGUGGGGAUUGAGGUCUGCAACUCGACCUCAUGAACACGGAAUUGGUAGUAAUCGCGGGUCAGCUAUACCGCGGUGAUACGUUCUUGCCUCUUGCACACACCGCCCGUCAAACCAGCAAAGUCGAUUGUAUCCGAACCU
This 960-nucleotide ribosomal RNA is filed under the name uncultured organism. RNAcentral describes it as "bacterial SSU rRNA". It matches the Rfam family "Bacterial small subunit ribosomal RNA", at positions 470 to 1428 of the family's 1533-position model. The record is from RNAcentral.